This is a long non-coding RNA of Homo sapiens (human), 250 nucleotides long. RefSeq lists it as uncharacterized. Lineage: Eukaryota; Metazoa; Chordata; Mammalia; Primates; Hominidae. The transcript is spliced from 3 exons. The record is from RefSeq and is a predicted model, not a curated record.
AUUACAUCCACCCUGGGCAGCUUUCUUGAGCCUUGGGGGACCAGCUUAAUGAUGAACCCUAAUUUUCUGUUGUCCCUUGCUGCCUAUCUAAGACUGCGAGCGAUCUGAAUGCAACACUCGGAGCACUCAAAUGUGAGCAGAAAUACAGCUUUUCAUGUAAACUAAGUGAAGAAGGAGACAACAGCUCAACAAGCAUAAAGGGAGAUGCUCAGGCUUGUUGGCAAUCAGACAGUGGUAAGAUGGACACCUA